CGGCACCGUCCCGGGCUACUGGUUCACCGUCGCCCUCAUCGACGUCGUCGGACGCUUCACCAUCCAGCUGCUGGGGUUCUUCAUGAUGACCGUCUUCAUGCUCGGCCUCGCCGUGCCGUACCACCACUGGACGACGCCGGGCAACCACAUCGGCUUCGUCGUCAUGUACGCCUUCACCUUCUUCUUCGCCAACUUCGGGCCCAACAGCACGACCUUUAUCGUGCCCGCCGAGAUCUUCCCGGCGCGGCUGCGGUCGACGUGCCACGGCAUCUCCGCCGCCGCGGGGAAGGCCGGCGCCAUCAUCGGGGCGUUCGGGUUCCUGUACGCGGCGCAGAACCAGGACAAGAGCAAGGUGGACCACGGGUACCCCGCGGGCAUCGGCGUCCGCAACUCGCUCUUCGUGCUCGCAGGGGUCAACAUGCUCGGCUUCAUACUCACGUUCCUCGUGCCGGAGUCCAAGGGGAAGUCGCUCGAGGAGAUGUCCGGCGAGGCCGACGACGGCGAGGAGGAGGCCGUCGGCGGCCGCGCGGUGCGGCCGUCCCAGACCCAGAUGGUGUAGUAUGACCGUCCGUGGUGAUUGGUGAUACGUGUAGGCCGGUUCACUUGUUUUCGUUUUCCAUGUAGAAAGUCAAACCUGCUGUUUCACAUGGGCAUCUGUUAUUUUUAUCUCUAUAUAAAAUAUAAAAAAGAAAAUAUCAAGUACACAAAUACAUUGGUGAACAU
This 723-nucleotide long non-coding RNA is filed under the name Setaria viridis. RNAcentral's name for it is "long non-coding RNA (SVIR_LNC010347)". The record is from RNAcentral. Lineage: Eukaryota; Viridiplantae; Streptophyta; Magnoliopsida; Poales; Poaceae.